RNAcentral lists this ribosomal RNA (253 nucleotides) under uncultured bacterium. RNAcentral describes it as "partial 16S ribosomal RNA". It matches the Rfam family "Bacterial small subunit ribosomal RNA", at positions 524 to 776 of the family's 1533-position model. The record is from RNAcentral.
UACAGAGGUGGCAAGCGUUGUUCGGAAUUACUGGGCGUAAAGGGCGCGUAGGCGGUCCUGUAAGUCCCGUGUGAAAUCCCCCGGCUCAACUGGGGAAUGGCACGGGAGACUGCGGGGCUUGAGUUCGGGAGAGGGAAGCGGAAUUCCGGGUGUAGCGGUGAAAUGCGCAGAUAUCUGGAAGAACACCGGUGGCGAAGGCGGCUUCCUGGCCCGUAACUGACGCUGAAACGCGAAAGCGUGGGUAGCAAACAGG